UUAAAUUGAAGAGUUUGAUCAUGGCUCAGAUUGAACGCUGGCGGCAGGCCUAACACAUGCAAGUCGAACGGUAACAGGAAGCAGCUUGCUGCCUUGAUGACGAGAGGCCGACGGGUGGGUAAUUGCUGGGUCACGACCCGAGG
This 143-nucleotide ribosomal RNA is filed under the name Escherichia coli. RNAcentral describes it as "partial 16S ribosomal RNA". It matches the Rfam family "Bacterial small subunit ribosomal RNA", at positions 1 to 134 of the family's 1533-position model. The record is from RNAcentral. Lineage: Bacteria; Pseudomonadati; Pseudomonadota; Gammaproteobacteria; Enterobacterales; Enterobacteriaceae.